UACAGUUCUUGGCCUUUUGGCUAAGAUCAAGUGUAGUAUCUGUUCUUACCUGGCAGGGGAGAGUCGGUGAUCACUGUUGCUGAUCUCCUGCGAUGGGAAUCAUGGAGGCAGAUCUACGUGGGCAGAUUCAUGGGUGAUCUCUGUGAAUACAAAUUUUGAAGAAGAAGAAAGACAACAGGGACUCUCA
Small nuclear RNA from Pristis pectinata (smalltooth sawfish), 187 nucleotides. RefSeq annotates it as U2 spliceosomal RNA. The record is from RefSeq and is a predicted model, not a curated record. The transcript has a single exon. Lineage: Eukaryota; Metazoa; Chordata; Chondrichthyes; Rhinopristiformes; Pristidae.